AACAUUCAACGCUGUCGGUGAGUUUUGUUUGAACUCCUCAUAUGAAAAUAAACCAUCGACCGUUGACUGUACC
RNAcentral lists this microRNA precursor (73 nucleotides) under Petromyzon marinus (sea lamprey). Its description in RNAcentral is "Pma-Mir-181-P1o2_pre stem-loop". It matches the Rfam family "mir-181 microRNA precursor family", at positions 12 to 73 of the family's 83-position model. From Rfam's summary of the family: In this case the mature sequence comes from the 5' arm of the precursor. The record is from RNAcentral. Lineage: Eukaryota; Metazoa; Chordata; Hyperoartia; Petromyzontiformes; Petromyzontidae.